AGAGUUUGAUCCUGGCUCAGGACGAACGCUGGCGGCGUGCCUAACACAUGCAAGUCGAGCGGGGAGAAGAAUUCGUUUUUCUCUUUAGCGGCGGACGGGUGAGUAACACGUGGGUAACCUGCCUCAAAGUGGGGGAUAGCCUUCCGAAAGGAAGAUUAAUACCGCAUAAUAUCAGAGCACUGCAUGGUGCUGUGAUUAAAGGAGCAAUCCGCUUUGAGAUGGACCCGCGGCGCAUUAGCUAGUUGGUGAGGUAACGGCCCACCAAGGCGACGAUGCGUAGCCGACCUGAGAGGGUGAUCGGCCACAUUGGAACUGAGACACGGUCCAGACUCCUACGGGAGGCAGCAGUGGGGAAUAUUGCACAAUGGGGGAAACCCUGAUGCAGCAACGCCGCGUGAGUGAUGAAGGCCUUCGGGUCGUAAAGCUCUUUGAUCAGGGACGAUAAUGACGGUACCUGAAAAACAAGCCACGGCUAACUACGUGCCAGCAGCCGCGGUAAUACGUAGGUGGCGAGCGUUGUCCGGAUUUACUGGGCGUAAAGAAUGCGUAGGUGGAUAUUUAAGUGGGAUGUGAAAUCCCCGGGCUCAACCCGGGAACUGCAUACCAAACUGGAUAUCUGGAGUGCAGGAGAGGAAAGCGGAAUUCCUAGUGUAGCGGUGAAAUGCGUAGAUAUUAGGAGGAACACCAGUGGCGAAGGCGGCUUUCUGGACUGUAACUGACACUGAGGCAUGAAAGCGUGGGGAGCAAACAGGAUUAGAUACCCUGGUAGUCCACGCCGUAAACUAUGGGUACUAGGUGUAGGGGGUAUCGACUCCCCCUGUGCCGUCGUUAACACAAUAAGUACCCCGCCUGGGGAGUACGGUCGCAAGACUAAAACUCAAGGAAUUGACGG
This 892-nucleotide ribosomal RNA is filed under the name methanogenic prokaryote enrichment culture B31_3_96. Its description in RNAcentral is "bacterial SSU rRNA". It matches the Rfam family "Bacterial small subunit ribosomal RNA", at positions 8 to 916 of the family's 1533-position model. The record is from RNAcentral.